RNAcentral lists this unclassified non-coding RNA (3277 nucleotides) under Amphibalanus amphitrite. RNAcentral's name for it is "procollagen-lysine,2-oxoglutarate 5-dioxygenase 1- like, transcript variant X1". The record is from RNAcentral. Lineage: Eukaryota; Metazoa; Arthropoda; Thecostraca; Balanomorpha; Balanidae.
UCACUUUUCGGCCGAGUGGCGUCGGCGUCGGCGGGUUGUCAGCGACGGUGAGGUUGUUUUACAGAGUGGUGCUGUGAUUUCUGUCGGUUAGACGGUCGCUGAAGCUAAACUGGCACAAGACAAAGGGCCGUGGCCUCGGUGAGUCGACAAGACUUUGCAAAAGUGGUUCAAGAUCGACGGGAGCAAGAUGAGAGCAACGGAAGUGCUAGCUAUUACUGUUUUGUGCUUUUUCCUGUCUGCCAGUUCUUCAACAUCGUCAGAUGAGCACGAUUUUCUGGCAAUCACAGUCGCCACCGACGAGACAGAUGGAUUCAAACGCUACGCCCGCUCAGCGAAACAGUACGACAUCCCCGUCAAGGUGCUCGGUAUGGGCGAGGAGUGGCGCGGCGGGGACGUGAAGCGGUUCGCCGGCGGCGGACACAAGAUCAACAUCCUCAAGGCCGAGCUGGCCAAGUACAAGGACGACAAGAACAAGAUCAUCAUGUUCACCGACGCCUACGAUGUGGUCAUCAACGCGCCGGCCUCUCAGAUCGUGGCGGCGUUCUUGGCGCUGAAGGCACGCGUGGUGUUCUCGACCGAGGGAUUCUGCUGGCCGGACGCCACGCUGGCCUCCGAGUACCCGGUGCCCGAGAAGGGCAAACCCUACCUCAACUCGGGAGCGUUCAUCGGUUACGCUCCGGAGCUAUACGAAAUCGUCACUCAUAAAGCAAUUGAAGAUGGCGGCGACGAUCAGCUUUACUACACGAAGAUAUUCCUGGACAAGGCGCUCCGGCAGAAGUUCAACAUCAAGCUCGACUACACGGCCACCAUUUUCCAGAACCUCAACGGCGCCACUGCCGACGUGGAGCUGCGUUUCAAGGGCUCGGAGGCGUACCUGCAGAACACGGCCUACAACACGGUGCCGCUGGUGAUCCACGGUAACGGCGCCUCCAAGCUGGUGCUCAACACGCUGGGCAGUUACCUGGCGGGCGCCUACAACCCCGAGACGGGCUGCGUGGCCUGCUGGGAGGACCAGAUCGAGCUCGGAGACAAGAUGGACAAGUACCCUUCAGUGUUCAUGGCCAUCUUCCUGGAGCAGGCCACGCCCUUCACCGAGGAGUUCUUCACAAAGAUCCUGGCGCUGCACUACCCCAAGGACAAGUUGCACCUCUACAUCCACAACGCGGUGGCUUACCACGCCAAGGAGGUGGCGGCGUUUGUCGAUAAGCACGGCCCUGAGUACGUCUCGGUGACGGUGGUCAGUGACGAGCAGAAUCUGAAGGAGUGGCACGCCAGGAACCGCGGCAUCGAGGAGUUCCUGAAGACCAAGGCCGAGUACUAUUUCACCGUGGACGCCAACGCCCACCUGGACAAUCCGUACGCCCUCAAACUGCUCAUCGAACAAAACAGGGACAUCGUGGCGCCGCUGCUGGUGCGGCCCUACAAGGCGUGGAGCAACUUCUGGGGAUCGCUGACCUCGGAUGGAUUCUACGCGCGCUCCAUGGACUACAUGGAUAUUGUGGAGGGACGCCGCGCAGGCAUCUGGAACGUGCCGUACAUCUCGGCCUGCUACCUGAUCCGGCGGUCUGUGGUCGCCGACCCCAAGACGCGGCCCAACUUCAUCAGCGGCCUGCUGGAUGCCGACAUGGCCUUCUGCGAGAACAUGCGGAACGCGGACAAGUUUAUGUACGUGUCGAACCGCGCCAACUUCGGCCACCUGUUGUCGGUGGACAGUUUCGAGACGAGUCACCUGUUCAACGAGAUGUGGCAGAUCACGGAGAACCGGUGGGACUGGGAGCAGCGCUACCUGCACGCCAACUACAGCCAGGCGCUCGACAAGGACUUCCAGAACGAGAUGCCGUGCCCGGACGUGUUCUGGUUCCCGCUGGUCACCCCGCGGUUCUGUCAGGAGCUGAUUGACACCAUGGAAGACUUCGGCGAGUGGUCAUCAGGAACCAAUGAGGACAAGCGGCUGGACGGUGGUUAUGAGAACGUGCCCACCCGCGACAUCCACAUGAAGCAGAUCGGCUUCGAGCGCGAGUGGCUGCUCAUGCUGAAGGACUACGUGCGCCCGUUCCAAGAGAAGGUGUACGUCGGCUACUUCCAUAAUGUAGGUGCCUCCCGCCCUGUCUGACUUGACCAGCGUGUUGCAGGACUCGCGACUGGAGGGCGGCUAUGAGUCAGUUCCGACCAGGGAUAUCCAUAUGAAGCAGAUCGGCUUCGAGCAGGAGUGGCUACUCAUGCUGCAGGAUUAUGUGUCGCCGCUGCAGGCGAAGGUGUUCGAGGGCUAUGAGAGCCAGCCUCCGCGGGCGCUGAUGAAUUUCGUGGUGCGCUACCGUCCGGACGAGCAACCGUCGCUGCGUCCGCACCACGACUCCUCCACCUACACCAUCAACGUGGCGCUCAACGAGCCGGGCAAGGACUAUGAGGGCGGCGGGUGCCGGUUCCUGCGGUACGACUGCAAGGUGCUCCAGUCGCGGCCCGGAUGGAUGCUGAUGCACCCCGGACGGCUCACCCACUUCCACGAGGGUCUGCCCACCACCAAGGGCACGCGCUACAUCAUGGUAUCGUUCAUUGACCCGUGAACGGAUGGACGCCGGCCCGGUCUCCUGCCUGCUAUAGGUAGCGGGACUGCAUAGAGCAGCCACUCACAGGCGACCCGGCGGUCGGUCUAAUCACUAGCGUCUUUUGUGCUGUCUAGCAGUCUCUUAAAUGCCAAGGACUUUGUCGUUUUCUACGGCAUUGGUGGUUCCGAUGGCAAUGCACGCUGGAUAUCAGUGAACUCUCGGCAUUAUACACAGUGAUUGGCUGAUGAUCAUGGAAAGCUGUCCAGAGGCCUGUUUCACUAAUGCGGCCUGUUCUCAGAUGUUGAGAAUGCGCUCACAACUGAAGGUCACGUUUUUAUAGUAUGGUAUUUUGCAAUGAAUAUUUCCAUUGCUGGCGUUGUUCAUAACAAUAUCGUGUGGUUGUAAGUGGAAUUUUAUAUGCAUUUGAUAGCGCUACGUUUGUAGAUUUCCGCUCAUUUUCCUGUCAGUAAAUGUAUGGAAAUGUCAGCCACUUCAUUUUUUUGUGCUUUUUGCAAUUUAAUGUGUUGAGAUUAUCUCGUUCGGCUGAGCUAUGUCUCGUAUCUGUUUCUCUGCGGAGUGUUUUACUCUGCCGUUUAGUGACCAGAUGGCUGAGUUGUCCAGCUGUCUGGUUACUGCGAAACUCACAGUGAGCGGUCCCACUGCCAGUGCAACACUUAAUUGUGGGACUCCAGUCCGCUGCUGCUGUCUUCCAAUACAUGCGCUCUGAGGUA